RNAcentral lists this ribosomal RNA (1349 nucleotides) under uncultured bacterium. RNAcentral's name for it is "bacterial SSU rRNA". It matches the Rfam family "Bacterial small subunit ribosomal RNA", at positions 28 to 1381 of the family's 1533-position model. The record is from RNAcentral.
GACGAACGCUGGCGGCGUGCUUAACACAUGCAAGUCGAACGAUGAAGCCUAGCUUGCUAGGUGGAUUAGUGGCGAACGGGUGAGUAAUACGUGAGUAACCUACCUUUAACUCUGGGAUAAGCCCGGGAAACUGGGUCUAAUACCGGAUACGACCAAUCUCCGCAUGGGGUGUUGGUGGAAAGCGUUAUGUAGUGGUUAUAGAUGGGCUCACGGCCUAUCAGCUUGUUGGUGAGGUAACGGCUCACCAAGGCGACGACGGGUAGCCGGCCUGAGAGGGUGACCGGCCACACUGGGACUGAGACACGGCCCAGACUCCUACGGGAGGCAGCAGUGGGGAAUAUUGCACAAUGGGCGCAAGCCUGAUGCAGCGACGCCGCGUGAGGGAUGACGGCCUUCGGGUUGUAAACCUCUGUUAGCAGGGAAGAAGAGAGAUUGACGGUACCUGCAGAGAAAGCGCCGGCUAACUACGUGCCAGCAGCCGCGGUAAUACGUAGGGCGCGAGCGUUGUCCGGAAUUAUUGGGCGUAAAGAGCUUGUAGGGCGGUUUGUCGCGUCUGCUGUGAAAGGCCGGGGCUUAACUCCGUGUAUUGCAGUGGGUACGGGCAGACUAGAGUGCAGUAGGGGAGACUGGAAUUCCUGGUGUAGCGGUGGAAUGCGCAGAUAUCAGGAGGAACACCGAUGGCGAAGGCAGGUCUCUGGGCUGUAACUGACGCUGAGAAGCGAAAGCAUGGGGAGCGAACAGGAUUAGAUACCCUGGUAGUCCAUGCCGUAAACGUUGGGCACUAGGUGUGGGGGACAUUCCACGUUUUCCGCGCCGUAGCUAACGCAUUAAGUGCCCCGCCUGGGGAGUACGGCCGCAAGGCUAAAACUCAAAGAAAUUGACGGGGGCCCGCACAAGCGGCGGAGCAUGCGGAUUAAUUCGAUGCAACGCGAAGAACCUUACCAAGGCUUGACAUAUACUGGACCGCAUCAGAGAUGGUGUUUCCCUUCGGGGCUGGUAUACAGGUGGUGCAUGGUUGUCGUCAGCUCGUGUCGUGAGAUGUUGGGUUAAGUCCCGCAACGAGCGCAACCCUCGUUCUAUGUUGCCAGCACGUUAUGGUGGGGACACAUAGGAGACUGCCGGGGUCAACUCGGAGGAAGGUGGGGAUGACGUCAAAUCAUCAUGCCCCUUAUGUCUUGGGCUUCACGCAUGCUACAAUGGCCGGUACAGAGGGUUGCGAUACUGUGAGGUGGAGCUAAUCCCUAAAAGCCGGUCUCAGUUCGGAUUGGGGUCUGCAACUCGACCCCAUGAAGUCGGAGUCGCUAGUAAUCGCAGAUCAGCAACGCUGCGGUGAAUACGUUCCCGGGCCU